UGAGUACGAGCGGCUACGGCCGCGAAGUGGAUGAUGUCAAGCUUCCAAGAAAAGCCCUAUACCCGUUAAGGCAUGAUGGCCUGUACCCGAAACCGACACAGGUGGGGUGGUAGAGAAUACCGAGGGGCGCGAGGUAACUCUCUCUAAGGAACUCGGCAAAAUGGCCCCGUAACUUCGGGAGAAGGGGUGCCACCGCGAGGUGGUCGCAGUGAAGAGGCCCAGGCGACUGUUUACCAAAAACACAGGUCUCCGCUAAGUCGCAAGACGAUGUAUGGGGGCUGACGCCUGCCCAGUGCCGGAAGGUUAAGGAAGCUGGUCAGCGCAAGCGAAGCUGGCGACUGAAGCCCCGGUGAACGGCGGCCGUAACGAUAACGGUCCUAAGGUAGCGAAAUUCCUUGUCGGGUAAGUUCCGACCCGCACGAAAGGCGUAACGAUCUGGGCGCUGUCUCGGAGAGAGGCUCGGCGAAAUAGAAUUGUCUGUGAAGAUGCGGACUACGUGCACCCGGACAGAAAGACCCUAUGAAGCUUUACUGUAGCUUGGUAUUGUGCUCGGGCUCGGAAUGCGCAGGAUAGGUGGGAGGCUUUGAUCCAUUGCUUGCGGGUGAUGGUGAGCCACUGGUGAGAUACCACUCUUUCCGAGCUAGAGUUCUAACAGCAACCCGUUAUCCGGGUGCUGGACAGUAUCAGGUGGGCAGUUUGACUGGGGCGGUCGCCUCCUAAAAGGUAACGGAGGCGCGCAAAGGUCUGCUCAGGCUGGUUGGAAAUCAGCCGACGAGUGUAAAAGCAGAAGCAGGCUUGACUGUGAGACCUACAAGUCGAACAGGGAGGAAACUCGGCUUUAGUGAUCCGACGGUUCUGCGUGGAAGGGCCGUCGCUCAACGGAUAAAAGUUACUCUAAGGAUAACAGGCUGAUCUCCCCCAAGAGUUCACAUCGACGGGGAGGUUUGGCACCUCGAUGUCGGCUCAUCGCAACCUGGGGCUGAAGUCGGUCCCAAGGGUUGGGCUGUUCGCCCAUUAAAGCGGUACGCGAGCUGGGUUCAGAACGUCGUGAGACAGUUCGGUCCAUAUCCGGUGCACGCGCAGGAAUAUUGAGAGGAUUUCUCCCUAGUACGAGAGGACCGGGAGGAACGCACCUCUGGUGUGCCAGUUAUCGUGCCAACGGUAAACGCUGGGUAGCCAUGUGCGGAGUGGAUAACCGCUGAAAGCAUCUAAGUGGGAAGCCCACCUCAAGAUGAGUAUUCCCAUGGCAUAAGCCAGUAAGGUCACGGGAAGAACACCCGUUGAUAGGCUCUACGUGGAAGCGCAGUAAUGUGUGAAGCGGAGGAGUACUAAUAGACCGAGGGCUUG
This 1347-nucleotide ribosomal RNA is filed under the name metagenome. RNAcentral describes it as "bacterial LSU rRNA". It matches the Rfam family "Bacterial large subunit ribosomal RNA", at positions 1564 to 2925 of the family's 2925-position model. The record is from RNAcentral.